GUGAGUGUAGCUCAAUGGUAGAGCGCUGGACUGUGGCUCCAGUGGUUGCGGGUUCAAAUCCCGUCACUCACC
Molecule: transfer RNA, 72 nt
Filed under: Pseudomonadota bacterium
Lineage: Bacteria; Pseudomonadati; Pseudomonadota
Also listed under: 1 other name
Description: tRNA-His
Rfam family: tRNA
About the family: Transfer RNA (tRNA) molecules are approximately 80 nucleotides in length. Their secondary structure includes four short double-helical elements and three loops (D, anti-codon, and T loops). Further hydrogen bonds mediate the characteristic L-shaped molecular structure. tRNAs have two regions of fundamental functional importance: the anti-codon, which is responsible for specific mRNA codon recognition, and the 3' end, to which the tRNAs corresponding amino acid is attached (by aminoacyl-tRNA synthetases). tRNAs cope with the degeneracy of the genetic code in two manners: having more than one tRNA (with a specific anti-codon) for a particular amino acid; and 'wobble' base-pairing, i.e. permitting non-standard base-pairing at the 3rd anti-codon position.
Source: RNAcentral